Molecule: unclassified non-coding RNA, 308 nt
Filed under: Hevea brasiliensis (rubber tree)
Lineage: Eukaryota; Viridiplantae; Streptophyta; Magnoliopsida; Malpighiales; Euphorbiaceae
Source: RNAcentral
CAAGUAUUUCCUUCAUCCCAUUGUCCAAGCAAUGUUCACUGGAAUGAUGAUGGUCUUGAGAACCAAGUGCAUUUUUUAUAUCCUUAAUGGUGGCAUGAGUUGACUGAUGAGAUGAGUGUGAUUGCCUCAUCCAAUUGAAAGUCCGUGGUAUCCCACUACGGAGCAUUCUUGAAAACACCGUUAAUCUCUUUUGAGUUUCAGGGAAUGGCUGACCUGUUCUGGAAUCUAUCAAACUAAGGAGAGUAUGUGAUACUUGCACAACUAAUUGAUUACACCAUAAAAUAGCCUGAUGUUCCAUCGACAACCAG